RNAcentral lists this ribosomal RNA (253 nucleotides) under uncultured bacterium. RNAcentral's name for it is "partial 16S ribosomal RNA". It matches the Rfam family "Bacterial small subunit ribosomal RNA", at positions 524 to 776 of the family's 1533-position model. The record is from RNAcentral.
UACGUAGGCAGCAAGCGUUGUUCGGAUUCAUUGGGCGUAAAGGGUGCGUAGGCGGCGCGGUAAGUCGGGUGUGAAAUCUCGGGGCUUAACUCCGAAACUGCAUUCGAUACUGCCGUGCUUGAGGACUGGAGAGGAGACUGGAAUUUACGGUGUAGCGGUGAAAUGCGUAGAUAUCGUAAGGAAGACCAGUGGCGAAGGCGGGUCUCUGGACAGUUCCUGACGCUGAGGCACGAAGGCCAGGGGAGCAAACGGG